RNAcentral lists this ribosomal RNA (772 nucleotides) under Coilia dussumieri. Its description in RNAcentral is "partial 16S ribosomal RNA". The stretch from base 1 to 513 matches the Rfam family "Bacterial large subunit ribosomal RNA", at positions 585 to 1301 of the family's 2925-position model. Lineage: Eukaryota; Metazoa; Chordata; Actinopteri; Clupeiformes; Engraulidae. The record is from RNAcentral.
GCAGAGAAUUCCCCUCGUACCUUUUGCAUCAUGAUUCAGCUAGUAAAAUACAUGCAAAGAGACCUCUAGUUUGUAACCCCGAAACCCGACGAGCUACUCCGGGGCAGCCUAUCUUCAGGGCUAACCCGUCUCUGUAGCAAAAGAGUGGGAAGACCCCCGAGUAGAAGCAAAAGACCUACCGAGCCGGGUUAUAGCUGGUUGCCCAACAAAUGAAUAAAAGUUCAGCCCCGUUUAGCCCAAAUCACAACAGUUUUACUAAAAAAGAAAAAGAGCUAUAGACGGGAGUUAAUCAAAGGAGGUACAGCUCCUCUGAUAAAGGAUACAACCUUAUUUAAUGGAGGUUAAGGAAUAUAAUUUAUAAGGCUAUAAGUCUCAGUGGGCCUAAAAGCAGCCACCUGACCAGAAAGCGUUAAAGCUCAGACCAACACAAACCUAUUAUACUAUUAAACCACUCCAAAACCCCAUACUUAUAACGGGCCCCUCCUACACACCUGUAGAAGAGAAUAUGCUGAAACGAGUAACAAGAAGACCGAACUUCUCCCCGCACAAGUGUAAAUCAAAUUGGACAAGCCACUGACAAUUAACGAACCCAAUAAAAGAGGGCCCUACAUCACCGCUACUACAAGCCAAGAAAAUUAUGUUUCCCUUUAUCGUUAACCCUACACAGGAGUGCCCAAAUAAGGAAAGACUAAAAGAAAAAAAAGGAACUCGGCAAACCUAAACCCCGCCUGUUUACCAAAAACAUCGCCUCUUGCAACUUUAAAGUAUAAGA